RNAcentral lists this non-coding RNA (27 nucleotides) under Homo sapiens (human). Lineage: Eukaryota; Metazoa; Chordata; Mammalia; Primates; Hominidae. The record is from RNAcentral.
UGAAGUGCAGAUGGGCAGCACUGGCUC